RNAcentral lists this ribosomal RNA (478 nucleotides) under uncultured bacterium. RNAcentral's name for it is "partial 16S ribosomal RNA". It matches the Rfam family "Bacterial small subunit ribosomal RNA", at positions 28 to 523 of the family's 1533-position model. The record is from RNAcentral.
GACGAACGCUGGCGGCGUGCUUAACACAUGCAAGUCGAACGGUAAGGCCCUUCGGGGUACACGAGUGGCGAACGGGUGAGUAACACGUGGGUGAUCUGCCCUGCACUUCGGGAUAAGCCUGGGAAACUGGGUCUAAUACCGGAUAGGACCCUGGGAUGCAUGUCCUGGGGUGGAAAGCUUUUGCGGUGUGGGAUGGGCCCGCGGCCUAUCAGCUUGUUGGUGGGGUGAUGGCCUACCAAGGCGAUGACGGGGCGCCGGCCUGAGGGGGUGACGGGCAACACUGGGACGGAGAUACGGCCCAGACUCCUACGGGAGGCAGCAGUGGGGAAUAUUGCACAAUGGGCGCAAGCCUGAUGCAGCGACGCCGCGUGAGGGAUGACGGCCUUCGGGUUGUAAACCUCUUUCAGCACCGACGAAGCGCAAGUGACGGUAGGUGCAGAAGAAGGACCGGCCAACUACGUGCCAGCAGCCGCGGUAA